ACAUGUAGACAUAGUAGACAUGACUUUAUGGGGAUUAUGAGAUUUAUUCAAUUUGACGACAGAAAUCAACAAAGCCAGCAGUUACAAACCAAUAAAUUCUCUAUGAUUUUUGAAGUUUGGUACAAGUUUAUUGACAACAGUCAAAAUUAUUAUAAAUCAGGACCAUAUAUUACUAUUGACAAACAAUUGUUUCUGACGAAAGCAGAGUGUAGAUUCACUCAAUACAUGCCCAAUAAACCAGACAAAUUUUAGUCAACAUUUGAUGUAUGUAUGCAAAUGUAUGAUAAACUGCUUUCCAUACUUGAGAAAAGAUUAAAGUAGAGAACCCUCAGUUCAUCUGGGAGAGUUUGUCACUAUGAAAUUAGCAGAACCGUAUAUAGGAUUAGAAAAAAACUACGAUUGUUGGGACAAUUCGAGCAAAUAGAAAAGGGUUACAAAGAAAGAAAGAAUAAAAUAUAGAUGAUGUACUUUACUAUGUACUAAUAAAAGAAAAUAUAUUUAUACUGCUUACUAUCUUAUAUUACAUGGAAAUGAAUUUUCCGAUAACCUGUAAUACAUUAUUAAUGCGAAUGUUCUGACUGUAUAAAUAAUUACAACCAACUAAAUAGUCAUCGACUGGCGUAACUCAAACAAGAAUGUGACACCUCUACAUCAAUUUGGUAAUAUGAUGAAGCAUCUAAUGCGGAUAUGGUUUAUAUUGAAGGACGGGAAAAUAACAUCUACUUAUUUAUGGAUUCGAUUCACCUUUAGAACACUCCAAGCCAAAAUAUUUUUUUUAUAAAAGCAAUGUAUGUGUGCGUGCACUAUCAAAUGUAUUAUUUUUAUAUGAUGCUUUUAUAAUGAAAUAAAAA
Molecule: long non-coding RNA, 851 nt
Organism: Diorhabda carinulata
Lineage: Eukaryota; Metazoa; Arthropoda; Insecta; Coleoptera; Chrysomelidae
Exons: 3
Source: RefSeq, a predicted model, not a curated record